UACUCCUUCGGGAGGCAGCAGUAGGGAAUCUUCCACAAUGGACGCAAGUCUGAUGGAGCAACGCCGCGUGAGUGAAGAAGGUUUUCGGAUCGUAAAGCUCUGUUGUUGGUGAAGAAGGAUAGAGGCAGUAACUGGUCUUUCUUGACGGUAAUCAACCAGAAUACG
Molecule: ribosomal RNA, 165 nt
Filed under: uncultured Lactobacillus sp.
Lineage: Bacteria; Bacillati; Bacillota; Bacilli; Lactobacillales; Lactobacillaceae
Description: partial 16S ribosomal RNA
Rfam family: Bacterial small subunit ribosomal RNA
Source: RNAcentral